This is a long non-coding RNA of Phyllopteryx taeniolatus (common seadragon), 5126 nucleotides long. RefSeq lists it as uncharacterized. The record is from RefSeq and is a predicted model, not a curated record. NCBI's taxonomy places the organism in Eukaryota, Metazoa, Chordata, Actinopteri, Syngnathiformes, Syngnathidae. The transcript has 4 exons.
UAUGCUCCUUAAAUAUACAAACACACACACAUAUUAUCCAUCCAUCCAUUUUCUGAGCCGCUUAUCCUCACAAGGGUCGCGGGAGUGCUGGAGCCUAUCCCAGCUAUCUUCGGGCAGGAGGCGCGGGGUACACCCUGAACUGGUUGCCAGCCAAUCGCAGGGCACACAAACAAACCACCAUUUCCACUCACAUUCACACCUACGGGCAAUUUAGAGUCUUCAAUCAACCUACCAUGCAUGUUUUUGGGAUGUGGGAGGAAACCGGUGUGCCCGGAGAAAACCCACGCAGGUACGGGGAGAACAUGCAAACUCCACACAGGCGGGGCCGGGAUUUGAACCCCGGUCCUCAGAACGCUGAGGCAGACGCUCUAACCAAUCUUCCACCGUGCCGCACACAUAUUAUGUGUAUGUUUAUAUAUCUAUCCCAGUGAUCCCUCGUUGAACCACAGAUGCAUUAUUUGCCUUGAGUAUGUUGAUGGAAAAGAACAGAGAAGGUCAGAAAGAGCUACAUUGUGUCUUUGUAGAUCUAGAGCAGGGGUGCUCAAUGCGUCGAUCGUGAUCGACCAGUCGACCGCGAAGGUAGUAUUGGUAGAUCGCAUGACAUCGUGUGACAUAAAAAAAAAACAUCAGCCUAUCAUCCAUCCCGUUGCUUGAUAGGCUGACAGAUGAGGUUAGACUGGAAUCCCCGUGGACCUUGAUGUUUGCAGAAGACAUUGUGAUCUGCAGUGAAAACAGGGAGCAGGUGGAUUAACAGUUAGAAAGAUGGAGGCAUGCACUGGAAAGCAGUGGAAUGAAGAUUAGCCGAAGUAAAACAGAAUAUAUGUGCAUGAAUGAGAGGGGUGGUGGGGGAAGAGUGAGGCUACAGGGAGAAGAGAUAGCAAGGGUGGAGGACUUUAAAUACUUGGGGUCAACCGUCCAGAGCAAUGGUGAGUGUGGUCAGGAAGUGAAGAAACUGGUCCAAGCAGGUUGGAAUGGGUGGAGGAAGGUGUCAGGUGUGUUAUGUGACAGAAGAGUCUCUGCUAGGAUUAAGGGCAAAGUUUAUAAAACAGUGGUGAGCCCAGCCAUGAUGUACGGAUUAGAGACAGUGGCACUGAAGAGACAACAGGAAGCAGAGCUGAAGGUGGCGGAAAUUAAGAUGUUGAGGUUCACUCUCGGAGUGACCAGGUUGGAUAAAAUUAGAAAUGAGCUCAUUAGCGGGACAGCCGAGGUUCGAUGUUUUAGAGACAAAGUUAGAGAGAGCAGACUUCGAUGGUUUGGACACGUCCAGAGGAGAAAUAGUGAGUAUAUUGGUAGAAGGAUUAUGAGGAUGGAGAUGCCAGGAAAGAGAGCUAGAGGAAGACCAAUGAGAAGGUUGAUGGAUGUCGUGAGGGAAGACAUGGCAGUUGGUGUUAGAGAGGAGGAUGCAGGAGAUAGGUUUACAUGGAAAAGGAUGACGCGCUGUGGCGACCCCUGAAGGGACAAGCCGAAAGGAAAAGAAGAAGAUACAGUAAUUAACAUUCAUCAACAUUGCCUUCUGAGAGAGGUGAAGAGGCUUGUGUUGGUGGCGGAGGAGAGGCUCUCACUUGACUCGUAGAUUCGUCAGGUUCAUCAGCACCUUCUUCAACCUCUUCAUUGUCGUCAUCGGGCAAGAUUUGGUCGUACAGAGCUUUGGCCUUUGUCCUGAUCAUAUUAGUGUCCAAACUCCUACUACUACUUUGAGCGGCACGCCGGAACAAGCUUGUGCCGCAUUUUGUCAGAUGGCUCAUCAUCUUGACGAAUAAUUCAACUCAUAUCAACUGCUAGCAGCAGAUCCUCAUCCCAGUACACGGCAGAAAGAAAGGAGAAAAAAAACACAAAGGUAAGAGCUAAACUUGCUAACUUUUAGCGUUUUGCUAAUUACUUCUGUAAAUGUUAUGACUGUAUGAAUAAAUACACACUAACAUCUGUUGGCAAUACUGAUUUCAAUGUACAAUCCACAGUUCAUGCAUCUUCCAAAAAUGGACCUUCCACUGAUGCUUGCAGUGCAAACAAAGUCGUCACCGUAUCGUGGUGGAGAGGUUUCUGUGCCCCAAUGAUCGGAGGAACUAAGUUGCCUUGGGCUUUAUGCCCCUGGUAGGGUCACACAUGACAAACAGGUUCUAGGCUCAAAGAACCCCUUAUGAUAAAAAUACCUCGUUUUCCCUCGCCCGGACACGGUUUACCGGGACCCCCUCUGGAGCCAGGCCUGGAGGUGGGGCUUGAUGGGUCGAACCUGGGGCCUGACUGGGCACAGCCCAAAAAUGCAGCGUGGGGCCCCUUCUCAUGGGCUUACCACCUGUGGGAGGGGCCAGAGGGGUCAGACCUUGGAGGUUUGAUCCUCAGCUACAGAAGCUAGCUCUAGGGACGUGGAACAUCACCUCUCUGGCAGGGAUAGAGCCUGUGAGAGGUUGGAGAAAUUCCGACUGGAUAUAGUCGAUCUCACCUCGACAUACAGUUUGGGCUCCGGUACCAGCCUUUUCGGGAGGGGUUGGACUCUCUUCCACUCUGGAGUUGCCCACGGUGAGAGGUGCCGAGCAGGUGUGGGCAUACUGGUUACCCCAUGUCUUUGUGCCAGUCGGUUGGGGUUCACCCCGGUGGAUGAGAGCGUAGCCUCCCUCCAUCUUCAAUUAUCAACUUAUAUGGUCAUGUUAUCGGACUUGCGGCUACCUGUCUUGGACACUUGGGUGAAGAGAGGGCUGGAGCUGUCAACCGAUCACCACCUGGUGGUAAGUUCGCUCUGUUGGUGGGGGAAGAUGCCAGUCCGACCUGGCAGACACAAGGGUAUUGUGAGGGCUUGUUGGGAACAUCUAGCAGAGUCCCCUGUCAAAAGGAGUUUCAACUCCUACCUCCGGCAGAACUUUGUGUACGUCCCAGGGAACGGUGGGGACAUUGAGUGUGAGUGGAACAUAUUCCGUGCCUCCGUUGUUGGGGCGGCCGACCAGAGCUGUGGCCGUAAGGUGGUGGGUGCCUGUCAUGGCCGCAAUCCCCGAACCCGUUGGUGGACACCAGCUGUAAGGGAUGUCGUCAAGGUGAAGGAGUCCUAUUGGGCCUUUACGGCUUGAGGACUUGAGAGGCAGUUGAUGGGUACCGGCUACCCAAGCAGAACAUAGUUUUGUUGGUCGCUGAGGAAAAAACACGGGCAUAAGAGUGGAAGCGGAUCGGUGCAGCGUCUGCAGUAAUGCAGACUCUAUAUCGGUCUGUCAUGGUAAAGAAGGAGCUGAGCCAAAAGGUGAAGCUCUCAAUUUACCCAUCUAUCGAUCUACGUUUCUACCCUCACCUACAGUUAUGAGCUGUUCGUAAUGACCGAAAGAAGAUGAGCCAAAAUGAGUUUCCUUCGCAGGGUGUCUGGGGUCUUCCUUCGAGAUAGGGUGAGAAGCUCGUUCAUUCAGGAGGGGCUCAGAGUCGAGCCGCUGCUCCUCCGUAUCAAGAGGAGACAGAUGAGGUGGCUCGGGCAUGUGAUUAGGAUGUCCCCUGGACGCCUGCCUGGUGAGGUGUUCCGGGCACCUCCCACCGGGAGGAGGUCCCAGGGACGACCCAGGACAUGAUGGCGAGAAUUUGUCCCAGCUUGCCCGGAAAUGCCUCGGGAUUGCCCCGAAGAGCUGUACAAAGUAGCUGAGGAGAGGGAAGUCUGAGUUUCCCUGCUUAAGCUGCUGCCCACGUGACCCAACCUCGGCAAACCGAAAGAACAUGAAUGGAUGGAUGGAUGGAUGGAUGGAUAUUUCUGUAAUAUACAGAAACUCCCAUUCUUGCUGGCAGGGAAACGAAGAAAGAUCACACAUUCACCAGCAGUGCGUAGAUGAAGAAAGGUUUAAAAAAAACAAGUCAUGGGGAAAAUUAUGGCUGCCAUGAAGAAAGACGAGCUGCUCCAGAAACAUCUAUACUCAUCAGAUUAUCCAUGCACAAUCUGACAGUCUGCCAAAGAGCAAAAAAAAAAAUUUAUGCCUACCGUGUCUGUCCCAGAAUGACAGAUGGGAAAACACACUCUCGCAUAUACCCACUAGAAAGAAGGCGAGGCCCUCAAGACGUCAUGUCAAAAUCUUACAUUGACAAAUUGUAAAUACAUUAUUUUGCAGUCAGAAACACAUGCGCACACACACAUACACACAAACGCGCCUAGAGGAACAUAACUGUAAAUAGCGUGCCAAUAGUUUGUGUGAAGUCUGAAAAUUUUACACAGUUGACUGUGAAUUUGUUUUUUGCCCUCAAAAGCACUUUUUCAUUGUUGUUAGUGGUGUUGUACAGAAGGAAAGCACCAUUCAGAUGUUUGAGGUGUCACUGAAGCAAAAGAAAUAUUAGUGUCAAAGUCUUUGUUGUGCCAAAAUACAUAAUUUCACAAAAAGCUUGUUUUCUCUGUUUUUUGUUCCAAAAUAGGCGAUUUGGGUGAAACCAACCUAUUUUCUACUGCUGAUUACUAAUUAAUGGAAUAAGGCAGAGACAACCUUUUUUUCUGAUGAAAGAAGAGAGUCUAAUAUUUAAUUAUGUCGUCUCCAUGUUUACAUAGUCAAAAAAACUAUUUCGAUGAGAAAGAGAGAGAGAGAGAGAGAGGGCACAUUUCAAGGUACCGGCAUGUACAGUAAAUGAAACCAGUGCGUGUGAGAGACUUUAGGCUUGAUUACACUUCACAAAACCAGUUAAUGUCUUCACAUUCUCUUCUGUUACCUUUUUUUUUUUUAAACUAGAUUUUACAAUAUAUUGCUCUUUUAAAAAAAAAAAAUGUGUGUUUUGGGGGGACAGGGACUGAUUAAUUGAAUUUCUAUUCAUUUUAGUGGGCAAAUAUGUUUUGAGAUAAAAGCAUGGUCACGGAACGAAUUAAACUCAUACCUCAAGGCACCACUGUAUACUGUUGAAUGAAUACUGUACUUUGAACGUUUCAAUCAAAACAGAAUAUUAGUCUUUUUAAAGACAAUGUUUGAUACGUGUUAGAUUGUGCAGGUAGCAAUAAAGUGUGGCCACUAAGUGUAUUAGCAAAUCAAUUUUGUUGAACUUUUACAGUAUCAUAUUCAACCGAGGCACCCAAAAAGCCAGAAUAGUGUUUGGUAUACAAUAAUUAAACACUGCAAGACCAGAGCACUGCAGAUUGGUGGUCUUGUCCCAUCACUGAGCAUCCGGCAAGUGACAUUUUUGUCCAA